Long non-coding RNA from Carya illinoinensis, 3476 nucleotides. RefSeq lists it as uncharacterized. The record is from RefSeq and is a predicted model, not a curated record. The transcript has 2 exons. NCBI's taxonomy places the organism in Eukaryota, Viridiplantae, Streptophyta, Magnoliopsida, Fagales, Juglandaceae.
AAAAAAACUUAACUUAUUUCAGCUCACCAUCUAGAUUCUAAACGCCACGAGAGGCUCCUGUGAAUGCAGUUUCCAAACGAGUCCUAGGGUUAUCCCAAUCAAGCGCCUGUUCAAAUUUAUGAGAAAAUCUAGUCUCUUCUUGACUGGUUUUCAGUAUUUCUCCUCCGUUUCCUCUGAAAUUUUAAACUGAUAUGCGAAGUCCAGAGCACACACUUUCUGUAGCUCGCUACGUGUUUUUUUCCCAAACCUCGUAUGACUUAAUUCAUGUCCUAUGUUGAAGAAAAUACUGAGCAUUGGCGAUGAGUUUAUCCCAUCGUUAUCCUUGCACCGAAUUUAUGGGGAAAGCUCUCUAUGAGAUGCUCCUUUCAUAACCCUAACGAAGUGAAGAGUUUUUUUUUUUGGUCUUGAUAUUAUGUCCUCACGUUAUUAUUUUGUUCAGAUUUUUUGGCUUUCAAUAUUUGAAUUAUCUUUUAUGGAUCAACGAACUAGUCCGGAAAGGUGCUCAGUUUUUCUUCCCUCAUGGUCAAAACAUAUUAUUUUCGAGCUCUUUGGUCUAAAUCGUUUAUGAUUAUAUUUUGUUAAAUUGGUAAUGAUUUCGUGCAGAAUUCGGUUGCAGAGAAAUCUGUAGAAAAAAGCUUGCAUCUUUGUCAUUUCGCUGAAAUGAAAAAACUCCGAACCAGGGGAAAAGGAAUUGAACAAAAAAAGAGUUAAUUUACUCUAAUUUCUGUUGCACUGGUAUUGAGGCUUCUGUGCAAGCAUUAAUUUGCCGGCUGCCUAAUCUAAAUGUGCUAAAAAAAAAUUGUUGGGUUACGACUUGCAUCGUAAACCUAAGCAAUAAGUAAUACUACGUGAAAUGAAGAUUUUAUUACCAUCUCCUACAAACUUGGCAGUCGUGGCAUGUUAAUUCCUCUGCCAAGUAAGUAUGUGUGGAGUGUUAGUAAAAUCUUUGGGACAUCUAGCAUGUCUUUAAACAAUAUGUUUCUGCUGCCUGCCUCACGAUGUUUUUUGGUUUCCCCUCCUGGUGAAAAUUCAAUAGUUGCUCGUGUUUUUGGCUAUGGUGGUAGAGGGGUGGCUAUGGAAGCAGCAGAUCAUUUGUGAAAUGGAAAAUGAUUGAGCGACAACUAGAUCACAACUUGGUAUUAAAAAAAUAUUUUUUCAUUUGUUUUGGACUACUGCUUCUGACAGUGUAUUUGAAUGGAAGGGAAAAAAUUAAUUUCUUAAUAUCAAGUUGUGUUAAAGUUGUAGUGUAAUUGUUGCUCUAUGGUUGUUCGAUAUAGCUCAUAAUCGUCUUGUUAGACGGGUAAAAUGUAUAUCUUGUUCAGCUUUCAAUGGACCUUUGAAUCUCUCACUACUUCCAGACUACCAACAGAGAGAGUAUUGAAUGUGGGAUUUGGUUUUAGGUGAGCUCCUCUAUUGGCGUUACAAAUGCUAUAUACUAUAUUACUAUCUCAUUUUUUUCCCAAGCUGUCAAUGUGUACUUUCCAUCACUCUUGGAUCAUUUUAAAAAAAUUCAAAGGUUGAUGGUCAAUGCCAUCUCAUCAUAGUAGGAUAAAAUUGAGAUGCUGGUGUAUGAGGAAUUUUCCACUUUGUAGAGCCAAUGGUUGCCUAACAGGUGUAUACUUUCUUUCUCAUGCUAUCAGUGUACGGUCAUUCCAUCUUUUUUUGUCUGGUGUUUGGGGUGUAAAACCACCAAGCCCUCGGUUCAGUUUGGUGGUCAAAUGCUAUAUACUACAUUACUAUCUUAUUUUUUUCCCAAGCUGUCAAUGUGUACUUUCCAUCACUCUUGGAUCAUUUUAAAAAGAUUCAAAGGUUGAUGGUCAAUGCCAUCUCAUCAUAGUAGGAUAAAAUUGAGAUGCUGGUGUACGAGGAAUUUUCCACUUUGUGCUCUAUAGAGCCAAUGGUUGCCUAACAGGUGCAUGCUUUCUUUCUCAUGUUAUCAGUGUACGGUCAUUCCAUCUUUUUUUGUCUUGGUGUUUGGGGUGUAAAACCACCAGGAACUGCACCCCUUGGUGUGGUAGGUAUCUGCGCCCAGCAGACUAUGUUGAGGCGGUUCUCCUGCUGGCUGGUGUCGAUCCCCACCCUCUUAUGUAUUUCAUAAUUUGAUUUUUGUCAUGUAUUUUAAUGCAUUUAGUGUCUGACUUUGCAUUAAACUUGCAAACUUCUUGAAGCCAUCUAGAAUACUGAAAUAUACGUGUUAAUUUGUUAUAUUAUUUCUAAUUGAGUUGCAUUAGGGACUUGGCAGUUCACUAAUCUUAUAUCAUUAUGUUUAUUGUGUGUUUAAUCAAUCUUGUGGAAGCAUCUGAGCAUUUACUGAGGUGUGUUCGAAAUUACUUCUGAUCUGCAAUCUAUUGUUUCGAAAUGAGAUAUGUUAUUGUUCUUAAAUCAGCAGUGAAAAUAAUUUCUUUAAUGUGAUGGGGCUAAUGUAUGAAAGUAAUUAAUCUUUUUCUUAUAAUGUAUGGGGCUAAUGUAUGGGGCUAAUGAUGGGGCUAAUGUAUGAAAGUGUAGCCUGCCGUGGAUGAGGGGGUUUUUGUGCAAGUUUUUACUCUUCUUUUCUUUUGCUACUGCUGGCUGGCUGAAAUGCUUAUAUUGUUUAUAGAUGGGAUUCUUUUUUUCCUGAUCUGGUAAUUAGCAACUGACUUUAAUACAUUUAGUGGAACAUCAACCAUCUCUAUGUUGAGUUUAGCCCUGCACUUUGUUUUGCCAGGAUACACAAAAUGAACUUUUGCAUCUGGUUCCUAGCUCUUCUUCUUGAUGUCCAAUAUGAAGCCUAGCAAUCUUGAUGGCCUUUUGUUCCAUCAGAUAAUUUCUAUAUAUCUCAAUCAGUCGUAUUUGAUCUUAGUUGGAUUUUAUGAAACAUGAGUAUCUGGAGAACCAUUGAUUGUAUAUUCAAUCGAUGGCUUGGAUUUUGAAGUAUGUUUUAGGUAAGAGUGAGGGUAGGUAGAUCCUUAUUGGAGGGUUAACUUCAUUCCUGUGCAUGUUUCUGUCCGUUGCAAAAAAAACUUGUUGAAUUGAUCUGUUAUCAUGUUUCUCCAAAAAAUACUUAUAAAAAAAAUAGAGUUUCUCUAAUGGAUCAACGAUGUUUGUUAGGAAACUGCGUUAUCUUUCUGUAAUUUCCUUAAUGGGAUUGAAGAUAAUCAUAACAUACUGAGAUCCAUUAUUCCCAUUAUAUAUCAUUUUAAAUUCUUUGUAGAAUAUAAUUUCGGAAACAUCAAACCAAGCAAUUUAACAAAGUGGGUGGGUUUUGGUUUUUUCUGUUGUUGAAAUGAUUUCGACUGUAUGAUAUUCAAGAAGUUAGGUUGGAAUGACUGCGUUGUAUGUAGGUAAUUGGGAGGGAUUCUCCUUAAGUGGAAAAGGGAGAAUCAAUGAGUAUGACUGUGAAAUAUUUUGUCGGUCGAAAUUGUAGCCUUCAACUGGUCACCUGUGUAUUCAUGACUUGAUAAUGAAAUCAUUCAUAGGCUGUGAAUGCAAUUGUGUUG